This 947-nucleotide ribosomal RNA is filed under the name uncultured bacterium. Its description in RNAcentral is "bacterial SSU rRNA". It matches the Rfam family "Bacterial small subunit ribosomal RNA", at positions 536 to 1501 of the family's 1533-position model. The record is from RNAcentral.
GGGGGCGAGUCGGAUUACUGGGUGUAAGGGUGCUCAGGUGGCUGUGUAAGUCAGAGGUGAAAUUUCAGAGCUUAACUCUGAAACUGCCUUUGAUACUAUACAGCUUGUGUACGGAAGAGGGUGAUGGAAUUCCUGGUGUAGCAGUGAAAUGCGUAGAUAUCAGGAAGAACACCAGUGGCGAAGGCGGUCACCUGGUCCGUUACAGACACUAAAGCACGAAAGCGUGGGUAGCAAACAGGAUUAGAUACCCUGGUAGUCCACGCCCUAAACGAUGAAUACUAGAUGUUGGGCGUAAAAGUUCAGUAUCGAAGCUAACGCAUUAAGUAUUCCACCUGGGGAGUACGAUCGCAAGUUUGAAACUCAAAGGAAUUGACGGGGGCCCGCACAAGCAGUGGAGCAUGUGGUUCAAUUCGAUGCAACGCGAAGAACCUUACCUGGGCUUGAAAAGCAAGCUAAGGCAGAUGAAAGUCUGCGUGCCGCAAGGCGAGCUUGUACAGGUGCUGCAUGGCUGUCGUCAGCUCGUGCCGUGAGGUGUUGGGUUAAGUCCCGCAACGAGCGCAACCCUUGUUCUUAGUUGCCACCGGGUAAUGCCGAGCACUCUAAGAAGACUGCCUACGCAAGUAGUGAGGAAGGUGGGGAUGACGUCAAGUCCGCAUGGCCCUUACGCCCAGGGCCACACACGUGCUACAAUGGCCACUACAAAGGGCUGCAAAGCCGCAAGGUGAUGCCAAUCCCUAAAAAGUGGUCUCAGUUCGGAUCGGAGUCUGAAACUCGACUCCGUGAAGCUGGAAUUGCUAGUAAUCGCGCAUCAGCACGGCGCGGUGAAUACGUUCCCGGGCCUUGUACACACCGCCCGUCAAGCCAUGGAAGCUGGGGGUACCCGAAGUCGCCUUUAACAAGCGCCGAAGUAAAACCAGUGACUGGGGCUAAGUCGUAACAAGGUAACC